Molecule: long non-coding RNA, 506 nt
Organism: Hyla sarda
Lineage: Eukaryota; Metazoa; Chordata; Amphibia; Anura; Hylidae
Exons: 3
Source: RefSeq, a predicted model, not a curated record
ACUAGCACCGGACUUGUGCUCGCAUCAUGCAUGGCAGGUACCAGGUGCUGUCAAGCAGCCAGGGAACCACCAGUAAUUGCGGACAUCAGCUAUCGCGCUGAUGUCCACUAUUAACCCCUCAGAUGCUGUGAUCAAUACAGAUCACAGCAUUUGCAGCAAUGCGGGCGUUUAAAUGGAUGAUCAGAUCACCCAUGGCGUUGCCAAAAUCACUCACACCAUCUCAUGUGAUACAAGCGGUGUUAUUUAUUAUGCUACCUGCCCUUGUGGUCUGAUUUAUGUAGGAAUGACAACGCGUGAAUUAAGAAGAAGAACAACAGAACAUGUACUAGAAAUCCUGGCUGCUAAAGACACAGAUGAUCCAUCCCAACCCAUCACAAUUCCCAAACACUUCCGUCUACACCAUGACUGAAAUCCUGAAGGUUUUAAGGCACAGAAUCCAUUCAUCAAUCAUGCAGCAAUGUCCAGUCAUCUCGUCUUUCCCCCUUUGUAGUUUGGACACCUUUCAG